Molecule: long non-coding RNA, 287 nt
Organism: Homo sapiens (human)
Lineage: Eukaryota; Metazoa; Chordata; Mammalia; Primates; Hominidae
Exons: 3
Source: RefSeq, a predicted model, not a curated record
AUCACCUAGGAGAUGUGACACAUUUUUGUUGCCUGGGACCUGCCAAAUAAGAAGAUUGUGACAUAUCACUUGACCCAGCAUCUAGGUAAGACUGUGACAUAUAUCUUGGUCCAACUAACAGUUGCAAUAACGACUCUCAUGCCACACAUCAGCCAAUAGAAAGGAUACUGUCAGUUUUAGCUGGGAUUAGAGAAAAGGGUUCUGCCUGCAGGAAAGGUUGUGAUGUGUCUCUGGACCCAACGGUAAGGUGAUGUUACACUUUUGCCUUGGUUCUGACCUCAGAAAGC